Molecule: ribosomal RNA, 406 nt
Filed under: uncultured bacterium
Lineage: Bacteria
Description: bacterial SSU rRNA
Rfam family: Bacterial small subunit ribosomal RNA
Source: RNAcentral
GAAUUUUGCACAAUGGGCGAAAGCCUGAUGCAGCGACGCCGCGUGGUGGAUGAAGGCCCUCGGGUUGUAAACACCUUUUGUCAGGGAAGAAUAUUUGACGGUACCUGACGAAUAAGAGGUUGCUAACUCUGUGCCAGCAGCCGCGGUAAUACAGAGACCUCAAGCGUUAUCCGGAAUUAUUGGGCGUAAAGCGUACCGAUCGGGGGUUUGGAAAGUCAGCAGUGAAAUCUCAAGGCUCAACCUUGGGGCUGUCUGCCGAAACUUCCAAACUAGAGGGGCAAAGAGGAAGCUGGAACGAGCGGUGUAGUAGUGAAAUGCGUUGAUAUCGCUCGGAACACCAAUAGCGAAGGCAGGCUUCUGGGCGCCACCUGACCCUGCUAGGACGAAAGCGUGGGUAGCGAAUGGG